This 247-nucleotide ribosomal RNA is filed under the name uncultured bacterium. Its description in RNAcentral is "partial 16S ribosomal RNA". It matches the Rfam family "Bacterial small subunit ribosomal RNA", at positions 87 to 334 of the family's 1533-position model. The record is from RNAcentral.
CGUGGCGACCGGCGCACGGGUGCGUAACGCGUAUGCAACCUACCCAUAACAGGGGGAGUAACACUGAGAAAUUGGUACUAAUACCCCAUAACAUCAGGACCGGCAUCGGUUCUGGUUGAAAACUCCGGUGGUUAUGGAUGGGCAUGCGUUGUAUUAGCUGGUUGGUGAGGUAACGGCUCACCAAGGCAACGAUACAUAGGGGGACUGAGAGGUUAACCCCCCACAUUGGUACUGAGACACGGACCAA